AGUCCAUGGUGUGGGCAGCACCACAGUAGGUCCUUAUACCUCUCUCAAGUGUCGUACAUCGACUCAUCGUCAAACUGCACGAAAGAAGAUAUGUUAUUUCUAAGUUU
Ricinus communis (castor bean) is the source of this 107-nucleotide non-coding RNA. NCBI's taxonomy places the organism in Eukaryota, Viridiplantae, Streptophyta, Magnoliopsida, Malpighiales, Euphorbiaceae. The record is from Rfam.